This 586-nucleotide long non-coding RNA is filed under the name Brassica napus (rape). Its description in RNAcentral is "long non-coding RNA (BNAP_LNC013230)". Lineage: Eukaryota; Viridiplantae; Streptophyta; Magnoliopsida; Brassicales; Brassicaceae. The record is from RNAcentral.
AACAAUCCAACUAAAUUGAACUAACUGGUUCUAUUUAGGCUAAAAUGUGAAUAAUUUUGUUCUUAUAUUUUUAAUAUAAUUAUGGUACAUUUAUCUAGAAUAAACUUUUCCGAAGAAAAAGAAUAAUGUGGAAGAGUCAAAACGACAUUAUCACUCUCAAAACCUUCAAGGCGAAAUGCAGCUAACACAUUAUCAAGGUUGAGAUUGGAGGUUCUUAUACAUGCAGCUAACGGAUUAUGAGGUUAAGACGCUAAUUUUAUGGGUUGAACAAAAAAAAACACAAAAAGACACCAAUUUUAUGAUAUUUUUUCUUUUCGGAUAUAAUAUUGAGAAAUACAGAAAACAUAAGUCUCUUAUCACUCAUUUUCCUCGCUUGCAUCUUUACUCUAGUUUGCAAUAAUUUUGAAACUUAAGUAGCUCUAGAUUUUUUUUUUUUUUUGAUAAAGAAUUUAAGUAGCUCUAGAUUUUGCACCAGUUAAUGCAGCAUAUAUGAACUCUAGAGAUUACAACAGUAAAAGAUCGAUUCAAAAGGUAACACUAGUGUCUAUAUAUUAUUCAACAACAUAACAUCGCACAAUUCCGCAUA